RNAcentral lists this ribosomal RNA (206 nucleotides) under uncultured bacterium. Its description in RNAcentral is "partial 16S ribosomal RNA". It matches the Rfam family "Bacterial small subunit ribosomal RNA", at positions 568 to 773 of the family's 1533-position model. The record is from RNAcentral.
CGCGUAGGCGGCCUGCUAAGUCGAACGUGAAAUCCCCGGGCUCAACCCGGGAACUGCGUCCGAUACUGGCAGGCUUGAAUCCGGGAGAGGGAUGCGGAAUUCCAGGUGUAGCGGUGAAAUGCGUAGAUAUCUGGAGGAACACCGGUGGCGAAGGCGGCAUCCUGGACCGGCAUUGACGCUGAGGCGCGAAAGCCAGGGGAGCAAAC